UGGGCUGAACGCAAGCUCCGGGUCCAUCGAGGGCGGGGAAGUUCCCC
This 47-nucleotide non-coding RNA is filed under the name Ruthenibacterium lactatiformans. RNAcentral's name for it is "DUF3800-XI RNA". It matches the Rfam family "DUF3800-XI RNA". From Rfam's summary of the family: Actinobacteria, Firmicutes, Proteobacteria, Spirochaetes (1 example). Lineage: Bacteria; Bacillati; Bacillota; Clostridia; Eubacteriales; Oscillospiraceae. The record is from RNAcentral. RNAcentral also lists the same sequence under 1 other name.